AGUGAACGCUGGCGGCAUGCCUAACACAUGCAAGUCGAACGGCAGCACAGUAAGAUCUUGCUCUUACGGGUGGCGACUGACGGGCGAGUGAGGCAUACAUCGCCAUCUACUAUUUCGUGGAGGAUAACGUAGGGACGCUGACACUAAUACCGCAUACAUCCAACGGGUGAAAGCAGUAGAUCUUGGCGCCUUUCCUGUUUGAUUUAGCCGAUUCCGUGUCGGAUUAGCUAGUUGGUAAGGUAACGGCUCACCAAGGCAACGAUGCGUAGCUGAUCUGAGAGGAUGAUCAGCCACACUGGAACUGAGACACGGUCCAGACUCCUACGGGAGGCAGCAGUGGGGAAUAUUGGACAAUGGGCGAAAGCCUGAUCCAGCAAUACCGCGUGGGUGAAGAAGGCCUUCGGAUUGUAAAGCCCUGUUGUUGGGAAAGAAAAGCAGUGGGAUAAUCCACGGCCGUCCUGACGGUACCUAAAGAGAAAGCAACGGCUAACUUCGUG
RNAcentral lists this ribosomal RNA (497 nucleotides) under uncultured bacterium. Its description in RNAcentral is "partial 16S ribosomal RNA". It matches the Rfam family "Bacterial small subunit ribosomal RNA", at positions 29 to 507 of the family's 1533-position model. The record is from RNAcentral.